GCUCCCGACGCCCCCCGCCCCCGACUCCGGGCCGGCCGGGCUGGCUGCAGCGGCCGGCGCACUCACCCGCUCCCCGGCUUGCGCGCAGGCACACUCAAGAGAGAGCAGCGAGCUCGCCGCGCCGCCGCCGCCACCGCCCCCGGCCCUGCGCCGCCGCCGCCGCCGCCGCCGCCGCCGCCCCCGCCCCGCCUGGCCCCCGGCCCCGCCCCCGGCCCUGCGCCGCCGCCGCCGCCGCUCCUAGGGUUCCGUCUGCUCAUCAGACAACAGAUAUUUAUUGAAUGUUCUUUGUCAUGCGUCUUCAAGAUGUGCCCUGGCCAUUCAUGCAAGUUUCAAGGACUCUGAAUCUGUUGAGAAAAAGAGGUUACGUUCCAAUUCUGCUUUAGUUCCAACCCAAAUGCUGAGAAACACUCCAUGGAAUUUAAUUACAGGGCGAUAACUGUGAUCUUACCAAGAUUUAUGAACAGGAAGAUCCUUGGUGAUUGUAGUCAGUCAAAGGGUGGCUUUGACAUAGCACCUAUCUGUUAGGGCAAAUACUGCCAGGGAAAAGGUGACAUUUGGAAUCAUCUGGGAUUGGACUCUUGAUCAAUAGAUGCGAAAUGUCAGGUGGACAUGAGAACUGUUGGUCUUUGGUACAUAUGUGUUGCAAUGAGUAAGGAUGAGUAAUGUGAAGGAAAAGUAGAAUCUUGGGACCCCAAACUCACUAUGCCAAAGGGAAAGUUAAGCGUGGGAGACUGAGUCAGGCAAAAA
This 747-nucleotide long non-coding RNA is filed under the name Homo sapiens (human). RNAcentral's name for it is "non-protein coding lnc-ACOXL-1:1". The record is from RNAcentral. Lineage: Eukaryota; Metazoa; Chordata; Mammalia; Primates; Hominidae.